GCUUAGCAUGAAGUGAAGCACAUACACCUGCUGAAUUUAAGCAUAUAAGUAAGUGGUGGAAAUUAAACCAAAUGGGAUAUCUUUAGUAAUUGCGAAUGAACAAGGAUAUGCUUAGCUUGACAAAUGGAGCUAUUGGCUUUGAAUUGUAUUGUGGAAAUGUAUUACCAACAGAGGUGCAGGUGCCAGCCUAUUGAAAUAAAGCGUCAAUGAGGGUGAGAAUCCUGUUUGUCAUGUGCAGCCCUUUGUGCACGGUGUAUAUUUGCUGAGUCACACUCCUUGGCAUUGGAAUGCAAAGUGGGUGGUAAGUUUCAUGUAAAGGUAAACAUGCAAUUGAGACUGAUAGCACACAAGUACCAUGAGGGAAAUAUGAAAAGGACUUUGAAAAGAGAAUUAAAUGAGUUUGUAUUUGCUGAACACAAAGUAAACAGACUUGAUUUGCUUGGUGGGAGUGUUGCACUUGCUUGACAAGAGCUUUGGGCUGUGGGUGUAAUGAUUCUUUCUUUGCAUGCCAGUUUCUAUUUGUACAUCUGAUUACCUUUGCACAUGAAUGAUAAGUCUCCUGUGGGGGGUGGAUUGCAUGUGCAUGUAAUGAUUUGUGUUUUGAUAAAUGUGUCUGGUGUAUGUGUGUGUUCCUGUGCUUGGGGAUGCUUCCUUCCUUGGACUUACAAGCCCUGACACACACAUGCUGGCAAAAUGCUUCUGCUUGACCCGUCUUGAAACACGGACCAAGGAGUCUAACAGAUGUGCAAAGUUUGAAGGUGGUAUACCUUUGUGUGCAAUGAAAGUGUCAGCUGGGAUAUGUGCACCAGCACCCAAUUAAUUAGCGGACAGAGGUUUGAGUUGGAGCAUAUCUAUUAGGACCCGAAAGAUGGUGAACUAUGCCUGAACAGAAUGAAUUCAGAGGAAACUCUGAUGGAGGUUCGUAUCGAUACUGACGUGCAAAUCGUUCGU
RNAcentral lists this ribosomal RNA (951 nucleotides) under Alexandrium fundyense. RNAcentral describes it as "LSU rRNA". It matches the Rfam family "Eukaryotic large subunit ribosomal RNA", at positions 1 to 905 of the family's 3401-position model. Lineage: Eukaryota; Dinophyceae; Gonyaulacales; Pyrocystaceae. The record is from RNAcentral.